UUCGCAAUAUACUUUGUGAAUAGCUAGAGGUAGUGGUGUGACUCUGACUCACUCGUCAACAUCAAGUAGAGAGAAAGCAAGUUCCUCAGAGACUAUAUAAGCCAUUUCAAUGUGGCUACUUUGGAGGUCCAGGACCUGGACCAAUCGAUUGCCAUGUUUGCUCUUAAAGGUAGGCUUCGUAAAAACCAAUUCCUCUUCUCCCUGAAGAAGAGGUACUGAAAGACUUUGCUCAGAUGCUGGCUCAGGUGGAAAAAUAUGCAAAUACUGAG
Molecule: long non-coding RNA, 269 nt
Filed under: Elaeis guineensis (African oil palm)
Lineage: Eukaryota; Viridiplantae; Streptophyta; Magnoliopsida; Arecales; Arecaceae
Description: long non-coding RNA (EGUI_LNC009882)
Source: RNAcentral